Molecule: ribosomal RNA, 301 nt
Filed under: uncultured bacterium
Lineage: Bacteria
Description: partial 16S ribosomal RNA
Rfam family: Bacterial small subunit ribosomal RNA
Source: RNAcentral
CAGUCGCCACGGGAAUACGUAGGUGGCAAGCGUUGUCCGGAAUUAUUGGGCGUAAAGGGCUCGCAGGCGGUUUCUUAAGUCUGAUGUGAAAGCCCCCGGCUCAACCGGGGAGGGUCAUUGGAAACUGGGAAACUUGAGUGCAGAAGAGGAGAGUGGAAUUCCACGUGUAGCGGUGAAAUGCGUAGAGAUGUGGAGGAACACCAGUGGCGAAGGCGACUCUCUAGUCUGUAACUGACGCUGAGGAGCGAAAGCGUGGGGAGCGAACAGGAUUAGAUACCCCAGUAGUCCCUGUCUCUUAUAC